AUUGAACGCUGGCGGCAUGCCUUACACAUGCAAGUCGAACGGCAGCACGGACUUCGGUCUGGUGGCGAGUGGCGAACGGGUGAGUAAUGUAUCGGAACGUAUCCUGUAAGUGGGGGAUAACCAGUCGAAAGAUUGGGUAAUACCGCAUACGCACGAGAGUGGAAAGUAGGGGAUCGCAAGACCUUACGUUAUAGGAGCGGCCGAUAUCUGAUUAGCUAGUUGGUGGGGUAAAGGCCUACCAAGGCGACGAUCAGUAGCUGGUCUGAGAGGACGACCAGCCACACUGGGACUGAGACACGGCCCAGACUCCUACGGGAGGCAGCAGUGGGGAAUAUUGCACAAUGGGCGAAAGCCUGAUGCAGCGACGCCGCGUGAGGGAUGACGGCCUUCGGGUUGUAAACCUCUUUCAGCAGGGAAGAAGCGAAAGUGACGGUACCUGCAGAAGAAGCACCGGCUAACUACGUG
Molecule: ribosomal RNA, 465 nt
Filed under: uncultured bacterium
Lineage: Bacteria
Description: bacterial SSU rRNA
Rfam family: Bacterial small subunit ribosomal RNA
Source: RNAcentral